Xenia sp. Carnegie-2017 is the source of this 725-nucleotide long non-coding RNA. RefSeq lists it as uncharacterized. The transcript has 3 exons. The record is from RefSeq and is a predicted model, not a curated record. NCBI's taxonomy places the organism in Eukaryota, Metazoa, Cnidaria, Anthozoa, Malacalcyonacea, Xeniidae.
UAAAACGUAGGGUAAUCAAAGCAAUUCUUGGGUUGCAAGCUACGUCAUAGUCGCCAUGUUGGAUGAUUUUAACAAAGGAUUUUCCUUAUUUACAAUGCUAAUUUCAUCCAACAUCGCCAGCAUUCCAUUGUUCUCUUACUCUCAGGAGGAUGGUUGCAACCCACCAAUAAGCAAACAGUGACAGCAUUUCAAUAGAAUAAUACUGCUGAAUUUCAUAUUAAUAACUCUAUUGAACUCAUUAACAAUUCUUUAUGCAUAUGUAUUGUAUAAAGCAGAAGUGUUCAUGCUCUCUAGCAUUGCUAAACAAUAACUACCUUCACUUGAGAAUUAAGAGAUACAAUGACUUUGAUAAUUCGCCAAUUGGUAAUCUGUGAGUACAAUAAUUAAAGUUUACGCCAUGCAGUCGAAUGCUUCAUUUUGGGUUUCAAUAAUGACGAGGAUGGGACACAGAAGCACGCUGCUGUUUUCAAUUACAAACGUUAAUCGAGAACAGUGUUCAAGAGUUGGUCUAUGCAGUUUGUCGUCAAAGUUACAUUUGUGCUGCAUAACAUUUGGGAUGUUAAUGACAGGAGGGUUUGCUUCAGUUGUGAAGGUACAUAAUAAAUUGGACGGCUAUCUCUAUGCGAUCAAAAGAAUUUAUUUGAAUCAGACAAGUGUUCUGUUAAAUCGCAAAAUUGCUCGAGAAGAGAAGUUCCUUUCUAGAUUGAAUCAUGAAAAUAUUGUAA